Molecule: ribosomal RNA, 1209 nt
Filed under: Triticum aestivum (bread wheat)
Lineage: Eukaryota; Viridiplantae; Streptophyta; Magnoliopsida; Poales; Poaceae
Description: partial small subunit ribosomal RNA
Source: RNAcentral
AUGGACAUCGCCGGAGACGCCGGAGGCGGCCGUCGGCCCAACUUCCCCUUGCAGCUCCUCGAGAAGAAGGAGGAGCAACCGUGCUCCAGCUCGGCUGCGGGGGGCACCUCGGCGGGCGGCGGGAAUGGAGCAGCCCCUGGCGGUGCCGCCGGAGGGGAGAUGCAGGUGCGGAAGGCGGUGCCCAAGCGGACAUCGACGAAGGACCGGCACACCAAGGUGGAGGGCCGGGGACGGCGCAUCCGGAUGCCUGCGCUGUGCGCGGCGAGGGUGUUCCAGCUGACCCGGGAGCUGGGGCACAAGACGGACGGCGAGACCAUCGAGUGGCUGCUGCAGCAGGCGGAGCCGGCGGUGAUCGCGGCCACCGGCACUGGCACCAUCCCGGCCAACUUCACCUCCCUCAACAUCUCCCUCCGCUCAUCUGGCUCCUCGCUCUCCAUCCCGGCCCACCUCCGCGGGGCCUUGCCAAGCCCCGGCGUAAGGUUCGGCUCCCGUGCCGACGCGUGGGACCGGGUUGUGGGACUCGGGUACCCGCCUGAAGGCCCCGCCUCGUCUUCGUCCACUCCGUCGCCGCUGUUGCUCAACUUCCACUCGGGCAGCGUCGGUCUUGACGUGCAGCCCUCGGCGUCAGCUGCUGCCGCUGCCGCAGCCGCUGACCUUUCGAGGAAGCGGCGAUGGGAGCAAGAAAUGCAACAGCAGCAGCAACAACAACAUCAGCAGCAGCAGCAACAGUACCAGCAGCAGAUGGCGGGGUACACGCAGAGCCAAAUGCCGGGCACCGUCUGGAUGGUGCCAAGCAACAACACGCAGAGCGGCGGGGCGCCUUCCGGCGGUGGAAACGGCGGCGGUGGAGGAGGAAGUGGUGAGUCGAUCUGGACUUUCCCGCAAGUGGGCAGCGCCGGCGCCGCUGCUGCCGUGUAUCGUGGGAGCGUGCCAAGCGGGCUACAUUUCAUGAACUUCCCUGCACCGAUGGCGCUGCUAACCGGGCAGCAGCUGGGGCUCGGCCCCGUGGGAGGCAGCGGUGGUGGCGGAGGCGGAGGCGAUGGGCAGAUGGGGAUCCUCGCCGCGCUGAACGCGUACCGGACACAGGCGGCGGAAGCAGCGGCGGGCCAAGGAGGCGGUGGUGCAGGAGGAUCGUCUAGCCAGCAGCAACACGGAGGUGGCGGCGGCGGCGGCGAGCGGCAUGAGAGCAUGAGCACCAGCGAGUCGUAG